RNAcentral lists this ribosomal RNA (433 nucleotides) under uncultured bacterium. RNAcentral describes it as "partial 16S ribosomal RNA". It matches the Rfam family "Bacterial small subunit ribosomal RNA", at positions 29 to 507 of the family's 1533-position model. The record is from RNAcentral.
AACGAACGCUGGCGGCAGGCCUAACACAUGCAAGUCGAGCGCGCCCUUCGGGGUGAGCGGCGGACGGGUGAGUAACGCGUGGGAACGUGCCCUUCUCUGCGGAAUAGCCUCGGGAAACUGAGAGUAAUACCGCAUACGCCCUUUGGGGGAAAGAUUUAUCGGAGAAGGAUCGGCCCGCGUUGGAUUAGGUAGUUGGUGGGGUAAUGGCCCACCAAGCCGACGAUCCAUAGCUGGUUUGAGAGGAUGAUCAGCCACACUGGGACUGAGACACGGCCCAGACUCCUACGGGAGGCAGCAGUGGGGAAUCUUAGACAAUGGGGGCAACCCUGAUCUAGCCAUGCCGCGUGAGUGAUGAAGGCCUUAGGGUUGUAAAGCUCUUUCAGCUGGGAAGAUAAUGGCGGUACCAGCAGAAGAAGCCCCGGCUAACUCCGUG